UCUCGAUUUUCCAAUUGUGAUGUUGACCUAACCUUCUAUUGCCCAUAACUUAACCUAAACACCUUUUUAGCCAACGGGGGUAAAUGUAGACCAUAACUCAGUUUCAAAAUCAAUUUUAUGAUUAAAAUCAUACCUUAACCUUGAAAAAUUUUUAGACGGCUCUAUUUGCCUCAAAAUGUGUGAGACUCACAAUUAACUACCAAAACAAGAAUUUAAACCUCAUGACUUGCGCUCAAUGCACAGGGACUAGUGUAGACCAUGUUUCAACUCUGUAUGACCUAUAUGGAUGACUGAUGACCUACAGCUAUCAACCAUGCUAGAAAUUGAAAAAUUCCUAAACUAAUACAAAAAGAAAAAUAAAUUAAAAGAACACGAUGGGUUGUCUCCCAUCCAGAGCUACUUUAUAGUGGAUAGCUCGACUCUUCCAUAUCUGCUUCUUUCUACUAUUUUGAGAUGGACGGUGGACUUUUCCUUGGAAAAUUCUCCACUCUAGUAAUGCUUCAGCCUUUGUCCAUUGACCGUGAAAGUUCCUUUGCUUUCAUGGCUAAUCUCAAUGGCUCCAUUUGGUACGAUACUAUGCAAUUUGUGCGACCAGAUGUCCAUACAAUAUGGGAUUAGCCGCAUCAAUGGCAUCUUUUAUCUUGGUUGGAGGAGAAAUUACCAAACGUCUAGCAUUCCCUCACGCUUGGCGCCAAUGAGGUUUUUUUUAUUUGAGAGAAAAAAGAAGACUAUGCCUUCACCAUAUGAAUAUUAAGUAAUAAUAGCAUGGCACUUCGAAUUCGAUAUGCAAAAUUUUUGUCUUGUUUUUUUUCAAAAGAUUCAAUUAUGUAUCGAGAGAGUAGUAUGAGAUAAAAGGUAUUUCCGAUUUCUCUUAUCUAUCGGGAGUCUAGUUCAGCGUGACAAACUUUUUUGUUUUCACACCGAAGGGCUCUUAACAAUAUUUAUGUUAUAAAAAAAGCAUCUUCGUAAUGGUAUAAGGACCUAACUACCUUGACUUCAAUUUUCCUGGGAAAAGCUUGAGUCUAAAGUUAUACAAUAGCAUUUUCUAACCCACUUCAAACUUUUACCUCUGA
RNAcentral lists this long non-coding RNA (1073 nucleotides) under Olea europaea subsp. europaea. The record is from RNAcentral. Lineage: Eukaryota; Viridiplantae; Streptophyta; Magnoliopsida; Lamiales; Oleaceae.